Non-coding RNA from Neogale vison (American mink), 367 nucleotides. The record is from the annotation of a RefSeq genome assembly. Lineage: Eukaryota; Metazoa; Chordata; Mammalia; Carnivora; Mustelidae.
UCAACCUCCCAAAAUGACUUCCCCUGCUCAGCUCCUGGGGCUGCUGAUUCUCUGGAUCACUGGAUCCAGUGGGGAAAUCAUGAUGACACAGACCCCGCUGUCACUGUCUGUCACCUCCGGAGAGUCGGCCUCCAUCUCUUGCAGGGCUAGUCAGAGCCUCCUACAGAGUGAUGGAAAUACCUAUUUACAUUGGUACCUGCAGAAGCCAGGCCAGUCCCCACAGCUCCUCAUCUACUUGGUUUCCAACCGUUACACUGGGGUCCCAGACAGGUUCAGUGGCAGCGGGUCAGGGACAGAUUUCACCCUGAGGAUCAGCAGGGUGGAGGCUGACGAUAUGGGAGUUUAUUACUGCGGGCAAAAUCUAUAG